RNAcentral lists this ribosomal RNA (395 nucleotides) under uncultured bacterium. RNAcentral describes it as "bacterial SSU rRNA". It matches the Rfam family "Bacterial small subunit ribosomal RNA", at positions 355 to 768 of the family's 1533-position model. The record is from RNAcentral.
UCGGGAAUUUUGGGCAAUGGGCGAAAGCCUGACCCAGCAACGCCGCGUGAAGGAUGAAGUAUUUCGGUAUGUAAACUUCGAAAGAAUAGGAAGAAUAAAUGACGGUACUAUUAUAAGGUCCGGCUAACUACGUGCCAGCAGCCGCGGUAAUACGUAGGGACCAAGCGUUGUUCGGAUUUACUGGGCGUAAAGGGCGCGUAGGCGGCAAUUCAAGUCAUCUGUGAAAUCUCCGGGCUUAACUCGGAACGGUCAGAUGAUACUGCUUUGCUAGAGUGCAGAAGGGGCAAUCGGAAUUCUUGGUGUAGCGGUGAAAUGCGUAGAUAUCAAGAGGAACACCUGAGGUGAAGACGGGUUGCUGGGCUGACACUGACGCUGAGGCGCGAAAGCCAGGGGAG